GGGUUGUGAGGUUAAGCGACUAAGCGUACACGGUGGAUGCCCUGGCAGUCAGAGGCGAUGAAGGACGUGCUAAUCUGCGAAAAGCGUCGGUAAGGUGAUAUGAACCGUUAUAACCGGCGAUGUCCGAAUGGGGAAACCCAGUGCAAUUCGUUGCACUAUCGUUAACUGAAUACAUAGGUUAACGAGGCGAACCGGGGGAACUGAAACAUCU
RNAcentral lists this ribosomal RNA (211 nucleotides) under Klebsiella pneumoniae. RNAcentral describes it as "partial 23S ribosomal RNA". It matches the Rfam family "Bacterial large subunit ribosomal RNA", at positions 1 to 203 of the family's 2925-position model. RNAcentral also lists the same sequence under 1 other name. The record is from RNAcentral. Lineage: Bacteria; Pseudomonadati; Pseudomonadota; Gammaproteobacteria; Enterobacterales; Enterobacteriaceae.